This 998-nucleotide long non-coding RNA is filed under the name Oryza brachyantha (malo sina). RNAcentral describes it as "long non-coding RNA (OBRA_LNC001562)". Lineage: Eukaryota; Viridiplantae; Streptophyta; Magnoliopsida; Poales; Poaceae. The record is from RNAcentral.
GGGCUGCAAUCUUUGAGAGGGUGGUGACCAGAGGGGGCAAUCCAAGCAGGCUAAUUUUCCAAGUUUUGGUUGACAGCCUUUCCGAGCCAAGACAUGAGGAUAUUACCUCGGCUUAGUGUUAGAUAUGUAAUCAUAUGUUGCACAGAGAUGUAAUCAAGGAGUUCAACAGCAGUGCCCUACAGAGAAAUUAGGAUAUUGUGGCCCUCUGAGUUUGCUAUUUCUGGGAUGUGCAGACAGUAUGGGAAUACAUUGGAUAAAUGAAAGAAUGUGAGCUGUAUUGACACCAAUCACACGGUCACACUGGUAAGCACUAAGCAGUCUAUGACAUGUGUUUUGAUAAUAAAGCAUCAGUAUCCUUUAUUUAUUUAUUUUUACUUGAUAACAUAACUGCAUAUUUCUUUCACUGUUAACCAUGAAUAUCCCGAUACAAUACAUAAUGGUCAUGUCAGAAUUUUGAGGAAAACACAUUCUAUUAGUAAAAACAAAAGAAACCAUUUUCUCGUACAGCCCUUGUUAAUUAGUUGCAAGAAAAAAGAGUAAGAUUCUAAUUUUACAGAUAUAGAUUAACUUAACAUGGAAACAGUUAGCAUCUGUAUGAUUUGAAUGACUGUCACUGCUUGAUUCCUCUUAACCAUAGUAGUGUUAUCUUUUGUGCUUCCUGUCUUAUUUAUACAAAUUAACAAGAAAUUUGAAUCAUUAAGUUCAAAUAUUUGCGCUAAAUAGCCAGUGAGAAAUUGCUCAUGUGAAGUUCUGUGCCUCUUUUUUAUUACACUGCAAUGUACCAUGCGAGUAUGAAUCAUUUCAUUUUCCGAAGUUGCAUAACAAUCGGCGUGACCAAACUAAACUGCCACUGCAAAUUUUCUGAAAAUUGAAGGUAUAGCACAACACCAAUUUCUCAUUUUUACAUGGUUUGGAGAAAAAACAAUGAUAUUUACAUUGACACCUACAUGCUCCUUAAGACUGUCCAAAUUCUCCGCAGGACUGCCAUGCACAAACUG